RNAcentral lists this ribosomal RNA (216 nucleotides) under Klebsiella pneumoniae. RNAcentral describes it as "partial 23S ribosomal RNA". It matches the Rfam family "Bacterial large subunit ribosomal RNA", at positions 2706 to 2925 of the family's 2925-position model. Lineage: Bacteria; Pseudomonadati; Pseudomonadota; Gammaproteobacteria; Enterobacterales; Enterobacteriaceae. The record is from RNAcentral. RNAcentral also lists the same sequence under 1 other name.
CCUCUGGUGUACCAGUUGUCCUGCCAAGGGCAUGGCUGGGUAGCUAUGUACGGAAUGGAUAAGCGCUGAAAGCAUCUAAGCGCGAAGCCAACUUCAAGAUAAGAUUUCCCACCGCAAGGGUAAGACCCCAGAAAGACUAUCUGGUUGAUAGGUCGAAGGUGUAAGUGCAGCAAUGUAUUUAGCUUAUCGAUACUAAUAGGUCGAGGACUUGACCAA